This 254-nucleotide ribosomal RNA is filed under the name uncultured bacterium. RNAcentral's name for it is "partial 16S ribosomal RNA". It matches the Rfam family "Bacterial small subunit ribosomal RNA", at positions 524 to 776 of the family's 1533-position model. The record is from RNAcentral.
UACGUAGGGUGCAAGGCGUUGUCCGGAAUUAUUGGGCGUAAAGAGCUCGUAGGCGGUUUGUCGCGUCUGCUGUGAAAACUCAGGGCUUAACCCUGAGCCUGCAGUGGGUACGGGCAGACUAGAGUGUGGUAGGGGAGAUCGGAAUUCCUGGUGUAGCGGUGGAAUGCGCAGAUAUCAGGAGGAACACCGAUGGCGAAGGCAGGUCUCUGGGCCAUUACUGACGCUGAGGCGCGAAAGCGUGGGGAGCAAACGGG